Molecule: ribosomal RNA, 253 nt
Filed under: uncultured bacterium
Lineage: Bacteria
Description: partial 16S ribosomal RNA
Rfam family: Bacterial small subunit ribosomal RNA
Source: RNAcentral
UACAUGAGGUGCAAACGUUACCCGGAAUCAUUGGGCGUAAAGCGUCCGCAGGUGGUUCCUUAAGUCUGAUGUAAAAUCUUGAGGCUCAACUUCAAGUCUGCGUCUGAAACUAAGGAACUAGAGUAUUGGAGGGGUGAGUGGAAUUCUACAUGUAGGGGUAAAAUCCGUAGAUAUGUAGAGGAACACCAAAAGCGAAGGCAGCUCACUGGCCAAUUACUGACACUCAGGGACGAAAGCGUGGGGAGCAAACGGG